CUUCACACCGCGAGCGGGCGCGCACCCCACACCGAGAAAAACGUGAGAGAAAAGAAAAAGAGACUAGCUGUCCGGAGGAUAAUCAGCUGAGAUUGUGUGUCUUUGAGAACUAGAAGACUCGCAGGAUGAACUCGCCCUCCUGGUGCGGCUCGUACGUGGAGGGAAUGAUGACAUACUCCCCGGGGCUCAGGCGGAAGCGCUGGGUCACCUCGCGCAGGUUGAUGUAGGACUUGCAGCGAGCUUUGGAGGAGGUCAACAGGAAGAACUCCUUCGGCAUGUGCUGCUUGUUCCCGUGCAUCUGGAAGGGGGGGGUUCACAACGG
Long non-coding RNA from Etheostoma spectabile (orangethroat darter), 322 nucleotides. RefSeq lists it as uncharacterized. Lineage: Eukaryota; Metazoa; Chordata; Actinopteri; Perciformes; Percidae. The transcript is spliced from 2 exons. The record is from RefSeq and is a predicted model, not a curated record.